Molecule: long non-coding RNA, 619 nt
Organism: Bos taurus (domestic cattle)
Lineage: Eukaryota; Metazoa; Chordata; Mammalia; Artiodactyla; Bovidae
Source: Ensembl
GAAGAUGAGCUCCAGGAGAUCUUACCAAUCCCUCCAGGCCAUUCUUAGGCACAUACAAUUUGGAAACUACUGGCCUGGGCCUUUUCUCCUGAUUUCCUGAUUGACAGCAUAGGGGCUAUCAAUCUUGGUUACACAGAUGCAGUCCAGCACCAAGGCUGGGAUUGGACCCAGGGAUCAGGUAUUUUAAGGCUCCCCAGGUAAUUUCAAUGUGCAGCCAAGCCUGAGACCCACUGAUUUGGAGCAAGAAUUUGAAUGAAGCAUUGUCCUCUGUAGGUUCUGGUCCCUCAAGAGAAGUUCUGAGCACACUUGUCCCUCGUACCCAUUCACCUACUGCUACCACUAUACAGUCGUUAACGUUGCUGAAAUCACUGACUAAAGGUUCCUUCAUGUGAAGGCGGCCAUGGCUACCAGCAGCCCCAAAGGCACACCCUGUUAACAAUAAUGAGAAGAGACGCUUAACCUAUAUCAGGCACAAUUCUAGGCACUUCAGAGCCUGUGAGGCAACAAGAAAGAGAGAACAUGCUCUCCACUUCAAAUUUAGAAAAUCCAUAGACAAGCUCUAAAUUGAGCCAGCUUGGGUCACGUAUCCACCUGCUGAAAUAAUCACUGGGUCUAGAAC